CAACACGUGCAAAAAUGGCUGGCAUCAUGAGAACUUAUGAUGAGGUUGAAGACAUUGGGAUUCGAAGGGAAUGUGUUCUGAAAGGGCUCAUCACCUUUCUUGGAGAGGAUGCAAAAGACCUUAUUAAGGAAUACUGUAGCAGCAGCGGAGAUGAUGCCCAGAUGGAACUCAAACAACUCACCAUGGCCGUGUUUGUGAUUCGGAAGGAGGGAGAGGGAUUGAAAGAAC
Molecule: long non-coding RNA, 228 nt
Organism: Xiphophorus maculatus (southern platyfish)
Lineage: Eukaryota; Metazoa; Chordata; Actinopteri; Cyprinodontiformes; Poeciliidae
Exons: 3
Source: RefSeq, a predicted model, not a curated record